RNAcentral lists this ribosomal RNA (884 nucleotides) under Bacillus sp. (in: firmicutes). RNAcentral describes it as "bacterial SSU rRNA". It matches the Rfam family "Bacterial small subunit ribosomal RNA", at positions 9 to 873 of the family's 1533-position model. The record is from RNAcentral. Lineage: Bacteria; Bacillati; Bacillota; Bacilli; Caryophanales; Bacillaceae.
UAGAGUUUGAUCAUGGCUCAGGACGAACGCUGGCGGCGUGCCUAAUACAUGCAAGUCGAGCGGACAGAAGGGAGCUUGCUCCCGGAUGUUAGCGGCGGACGGGUGAGUAACACGUGGGUAACCUGCCUGUAAGACUGGGAUAACUCCGGGAAACCGGAGCUAAUACCGGAUAGUUCCUUGAACCGCAUGGUUCAAGGAUGAAAGACGGUUUCGGCUGUCACUUACAGAUGGACCCGCGGCGCAUUAGCUAGUUGGUGAGGUAACGGCUCACCAAGGCGACGAUGCGUAGCCGACCUGAGAGGGUGAUCGGCCACACUGGGACUGAGACACGGCCCAGACUCCUACGGGAGGCAGCAGUAGGGAAUCUUCCGCAAUGGACGAAAGUCUGACGGAGCAACGCCGCGUGAGUGAUGAAGGUUUUCGGAUCGUAAAGCUCUGUUGUUAGGGAAGAACAAGUGCAAGAGUAACUGCUUGCACCUUGACGGUACCUAACCAGAAAGCCACGGCUAACUACGUGCCAGCAGCCGCGGUAAUACGUAGGUGGCAAGCGUUGUCCGGAAUUAUUGGGCGUAAAGGGCUCGCAGGCGGUUUCUUAAGUCUGAUGUGAAAGCCCCCGGCUCAACCGGGGAGGGUCAUUGGAAACUGGGAAACUUGAGUGCAGAAGAGGAGAGUGGAAUUCCACGUGUAGCGGUGAAAUGCGUAGAGAUGUGGAGGAACACCAGUGGCGAAGGCGACUCUCUGGUCUGUAACUGACGCUGAGGAGCGAAAGCGUGGGGAGCGAACAGGAUUAGAUACCCUGGUAGUCCACGCCGUAAACGAUGAGUGCUAAGUGUUAGGGGGUUUCCGCCCCUUAGUGCUGCAGCUAACGCAUAAGCACUCCGCCU